UAGUCUGGAGAAAAGGAGGCUCAGGAGGCACCUUAUUGCUCUCUAAAACUAUCUGAAAGCAAGCUGUUAUCAGAUAGAAACACAUGUAAACCAGUGAAUGACCAAUGACAGCAAAUACCAACUGUAUUUCCUCUAAGAUACAGGUACUCUGAAUAGUAUUUAUCUUUUUACACCGUGAGUUACUGAGAGGAGGAACUGUGAUUUCAUACAAUUGUCUAAGGACCUAGUCUAAUGGAGACCAGAUUAUCAUCUCAAUACUUUGUGAUCUCUGGCAUUCCUCAGUAUCAGGCUUCCUUGACGGUUACAUGGGGCUCUCCACACUUCAACUCUCCACAGUUCAAACAGGAUCUUGCCAA
Long non-coding RNA from Pipra filicauda (Wire-tailed manakin), 356 nucleotides. RefSeq lists it as uncharacterized. NCBI's taxonomy places the organism in Eukaryota, Metazoa, Chordata, Aves, Passeriformes, Pipridae. The transcript has 4 exons. The record is from RefSeq and is a predicted model, not a curated record.